Molecule: ribosomal RNA, 557 nt
Filed under: Mesorhizobium sp. HRRK177
Lineage: Bacteria; Pseudomonadati; Pseudomonadota; Alphaproteobacteria; Hyphomicrobiales; Phyllobacteriaceae
Description: bacterial SSU rRNA
Rfam family: Bacterial small subunit ribosomal RNA
Source: RNAcentral
ACGGGUGAGUAACGCGUGGGAAUCUACCCAUCUCUACGGAACAACUCCGGGAAACUGGAGCUAAUACCGUAUACGUCCUUCGGGAGAAAGAUUUAUCGGAGAUGGAUGAGCCCGCGUUGGAUUAGCUAGUUGGUGGGGUAAUGGCCUACCAAGGCGACGAUCCAUAGCUGGUCUGAGAGGAUGAUCAGCCACAUUGGGACUGAGACACGGCCCAAACUCCUACGGGAGGCACCAGUGGGGAAUAUUGGACAAUGGGCGAAAGCCUGAUCCAGCCAUGCCGCGUGAGUGAUGAAGGCCCUAGGGUUGUAAAGCUCUUUCAACGGUGAAGAUUAUGACGGUCACCGUAGAAGAAGCCCCGGCUAACUUCGUGCCAGCAGCCGCGGUAAUACGAAGGGGGCUAGCGUUGUUCGGAAUUACUGGGCGUAAAGCGCACGUAUGCCGAUUGUUAAGUUAGGGGUGAAAUCCCAGGGCUCAACCCUGGAACUGCCUUUAAUACUGGCAAUCUCGAGUCCGAGAGAGGUGAGUGGAAUUCCGAGUGUAGAGGUGAAAUUCGUAGA